Molecule: unclassified non-coding RNA, 404 nt
Filed under: soil metagenome
Description: partial contains 5.8S ribosomal RNA, internal transcribed spacer 2, and large subunit ribosomal RNA
Rfam family: 5.8S ribosomal RNA (bases 1-122)
Source: RNAcentral
GAUGAAGAACGUAGCAAAAUGCGAUACUUGGUGUGAAUUGCAGAAUCCCGUGAACCAUCGAGUUUUUGAACGCAAGUUGCGCCCGAAGCCUUUUGGCCGAAGGCACGUCUGCCUGGGCGUCACGCAUCGCGUCGCCCCCCACAAUUCUCCGUAAAGGGAACAUGUGUUUUGGGGGCGGAUAUUGGUCUCCCGUGCUCAUGGCGUGGUUGGCCGAAAUAGGAGUCCUUUCGAUGGACGCACGAACUAGUGGUGGUCGUAAAAACCCUCGUCUUUUGUUUCGUGCUGUUGGUCGCAAGGUAAACUCUUUAAAAACCCCAAUGUGUCGUCUCUUGACGACGCUUCGACCGCGACCCCAGGUCAGGCGGGACUACCCGCUGAGUUUAAGCAUAUCAAUAAGCGGAGGA